Molecule: long non-coding RNA, 1174 nt
Filed under: Populus tremula
Lineage: Eukaryota; Viridiplantae; Streptophyta; Magnoliopsida; Malpighiales; Salicaceae
Description: long non-coding RNA (PTRE_LNC000093)
Source: RNAcentral
AUAUACAUAAAAAAUAAUAACAAAACACCUACUCAAACACCUUCCUUUUACUAUGUUUAAGCACACACCCUGACUACAAAUCAAUCAAAAUUAAAAAUAAACCAAACAACACAUUAAAUAAUUUUAAAUUUACAAAAUGAACCCCAAAAAAUUCAGGAAUAGUGCUGGGAAGCCCUUUAAAACUGCAAAAAAAUAGCGGCCCGUGGGUUCAUGCGCCGCCGCUGACGAAAGCAACAAAACUGGUGGAUCGGGAAUGUUUUUUUCUUCUCUGUCUUCCUAUGCUGUCGGUGAGGACCACCUUCACUUCCAACAAGGGAAGCAACGCACAAACAACAAUUGAUUUUAAUUUUAUUUUUCUCCUCCUCGAAUCUGGUUCUUUCUCAGCAGCUCUUUUUUCCCUUUGUUUCCUCUUCUUCUCUGUUUUAGGCGGUCAACUCUAAGGUCAGGGCGUCUGUAGCUUGUGGUCGGCGGGUUCUGUGGGUUCUACUUUACUUGGAUUGUUGUUGGAGGCCGGUUGGAGGAGAUGAAGGAGUGGGGGCUGCUGCUAUUGUCAUCUUUUCGACUAGCUUCGUUGUGGAGAAAAGAAUGUUACCCGGGCGCUGCCGUGUGUGGGCUGCUGGAUCUCGGGUGAGGACGACACUGCUGUGACUGACUGUGAAGACUGUGGGUUUGUGGCCACUGAAGCUGUGGUGGAGAUGGGAACAACUGUUGAGCAGGGAAGUUGAGAUGGGGUUGGCUGAGAGAUAAGAGGGAUGAUGGAGAGGCUGUCUUGGAGAAGGAAACGUUGAGGGGAGUCGGGAGCAGCUAUGAGGGAAGAUAUGUGGAAAUGGGGGUUGUACGAGGAGAAGGGAGUAAUAUGGUGGUUGUCUUGUAGCUAAAAGGAGGCUUGCAACUGAAGGGAGAAGGGAUAGUGAUGGAGGUCUCUCCGGUGGGCGUUGGUUGUCUAAGUGGAGUCGAGGGUCAGAUGGCUAAGUGAGCUGGCUGCUGAACGAGGGGAGUGACUCUUUUUUUUUUUUUUGCUGGGUAUGGUCAGUGCGGCUGGUUGUAAAGAGAUGGAUUUAGGCUUAGGGUUUCCUUGUCUUUCCCUUGGUUUUUUCAAAAUUGCCCCCACGCUUGUGUAUGUGUUGGAAACUUCUAGUUAUAAGCAAAUAUGUUACUACAUCCUUAAACUUGA